GUUUACAUAGUUUAAAAAAAACAUUACACUUUCAUUGUAAAAUUAGUCCUAAACUUGUAAAUA
This 63-nucleotide transfer RNA is filed under the name Hemisodorcus sinensis. RNAcentral's name for it is "tRNA-Glu". Lineage: Eukaryota; Metazoa; Arthropoda; Insecta; Coleoptera; Lucanidae. The record is from RNAcentral.